RNAcentral lists this ribosomal RNA (1420 nucleotides) under Ralstonia solanacearum. RNAcentral describes it as "16S ribosomal RNA". It matches the Rfam family "Bacterial small subunit ribosomal RNA". The record is from RNAcentral. Lineage: Bacteria; Pseudomonadati; Pseudomonadota; Betaproteobacteria; Burkholderiales; Burkholderiaceae.
GGCGGCAUGCUUACCAUGCAGUCGAACGGCAGCGGGGGUAGCUUGCUCCUGCCGGCGAGUGGCGAACGGGUGAGUAAUACAUCGGAACGUGCCCUGUAGUGGGGGAUAACUAGUCGAAAGACUAGCUAAUACCGCAUACGACCUGAGGGUGAAAGUGGGGGACCGCAAGGCCUCAUGCUAUAGGAGCGGCCGAUGUCUGAUUAGCUAGUUGGUGGGGUAAAGGCCCACCAAGGCGACGAUCAGUAGCUGGUCUGAGAGGACGAUCAGCCACACUGGGACUGAGACACGGCCCAGGCUCCUACGGGAGGCAGCAGUGGGGAAUUUUGGACAAUGGGGGCAACCCUGAUCCAGCAAUGCCGCGUGUGUGAAGAAGGCCUUCGGGUUGUAAAGCACUUUUGUCCGGAAAGAAAUCGCACUGGUUAAUACCUGGUGUGGAUGACGGUACCGGAAGAAUAAGGACCGGCUAACUACGUGCCAGCAGCCGCGGUAAUACGUAGGGUCCAAGCGUUAAUCGGAAUUACUGGGCGUAAAGCGUGCGCAGGCGGUUGUGCAAGACCGAUGUGAAAUCCCCGGGCUUAACCUGGGAAUUGCAUUGGUGACUGCACGGCUAGAGUGUGUCAGAGGGAGGUAGAAUUCCACGUGUAGCAGUGAAAUGCGUAGAGAUGUGGAGGAAUACCGAUGGCGAAGGCAGCCUCCUGGGAUAACACUGACGCUCAUGCACGAAAGCGUGGGGAGCAAACAGGAUUAGAUACCCUGGUAGUCCACGCCCUAUACGAUGUCAACUAGUUGUUGGGGGAUUCAUUUCCUUAGUAACGUAGCUAACGCGUGAAGUUGACCGCCUGGGGAGUACGGUCGCAAGAUUAAAACUCAAAGGAAUUGACGGGGACCCGCACAAGCGGUGGAUGAUGUGGAUUAAUUCGAUGCAACGCGAAAAACCUUACCUACCCUUGACAUGCCACUAACGAAGCAGAGAUGCAUUAGGUGCUCGAAAGAGAAAGUGGACACAGGUGCUGCAUGGCUGUCGUCAGCUCGUGUCGUGAGAUGUUGGGUUAAGUCCCGCAACGAGCGCAACCCUUGUCUCUAGUUGCUACGAAAGGGCACUCUAGAGAGACUGCCGGUGACAAACCGGAGGAAGGUGGGGAUGACGUCAAGUCCUCAUGGCCCUUAUGGGUAGGGCUUCACACGUCAUACAAUGGUGCAUACAGAGGGUUGCCAAGCCGCGAGGUGGAGCUAAUCCCAGAAAAUGCAUCGUAGUCCGGAUCGUAGUCUGCAACUCGACUACGUGAAGCUGGAAUCGCUAGUAAUCGCGGAUCAGCAUGCCGCGGUGAAUACGUUCCCGGGUCUUGUACACACCGCCCGUCACACCAUGGGAGUGGGCUUUACCAGAAGUAGUUAGCCUAACCGUAAGGAGGGCGAUACC